UUCGAUUUUUGAGAAAGCAAUCAUGCUGGGGGUCUGGCUCUCGAGAUUCGGAGAGCAGUGUCUCUUCGAUUUUUGAGGAAGUAAUCAUGUUGGGAGUCUGGCUCUCGAGAUUCGGAGGGCGGUGCCUCUUCGAUUUUGGAGCAAGCAAUCUUGUUGGGAGUGUUGUCUCGAAUGUGAGUAAAGGUUGGGCAUGUUUGCUAGUCUACCUUGCCACGAAGCACAAAGGUUGACACACAGGGACUUUCCAAUUAUCCAGCAAUGGUACUGUUCCUUUACCCUCUCUUCGAUUUUGAGAAAGUAGUCAUGUUGGGAGUCUGGCUCUCGAGAUUCGGAGGACGGUGCCUCUUCGAUUUUGGAGCAAGCAAUCUUGUUGGGAGUGUUUUUCUCGAAUGUGAGUAAAGGUUGGGCAUGUUUGCUAGUCUACCUUGCCACGAAGCACAGAGGUUGACACACAGGGACUUUCCAAUUAUCCAGCAGUGGUACUGUUCCUUUACCCUUGUGGGUAAUAAUAUGGUAGCUAGACCUUCAAAAUUUAUGUGUCUAAACUUUGUUAGUGCUGUUUCUUUGCUAUUCUUUUACCUUUCUUGGUCAGAGCGAUGUAGUGGGAGCUGCAAGCUUCACGUGCUCAACUUUGGCAGAGAACUUUGGCAAAGUUAUCUGUGGUACCCAUGAGCUAUUGUUGCGUGUGGGAAGUGGGUGAUUGAACAGUAAGAUUCAUGUGCUUUCUACUUCACCAGAAGUCUUCGACAGAAUGCCCAUAAUUUCUGCAAAGCUGAGUGUGCGUGUGACAGGUGCUGACAAGGCUAGAAAAGUAGGUGCCUCUUCGAUUUCUGAGAUCGGCCCUCGUGGUCUCUGAGCAGCCCAGCUUUUGAGAAAGCGAGCGCCUCUUCGAUUGAUUCGGAGAACGAUGCCUCAUCGAUUUUUGAGAAAGCAAUCAUGCUGGGGGGUCUGGCUCUCGAGAUUCGGGGAGCAGUGUCUCUUCGAUUUUUGAGAAAGUAAUCAUGUUGGGAGUCUGGCUCUCGAGAUUCGGAGGGCGGUGCCUCUUCGAUUUUGGAGCAAGCAAUCUUGUUGGGAGUGUUUUCUCGAAUGUGAGUAAAGGUUGGGCAUGUUUGCUAGUCUACCUUGCCACGAAGCACAGAGGUUGACACACAGGGACUUUCCAAUUAUCCAGCAAUGGUACUGUUCCUUUACCCUCUCUUCGAUUUUUUAAGAAAGUAGUCAUGUUGGGAGUCUGGCUCUCGAGAUUCGGAGGACGGUGCCUCUUCGAUUUUGGAGCAAGCAAUCUUAUUGGGAGUGUUUUCUCGAAUGUGAGUAAAGGUUGGGCAUGUUUGCUAGUCUACCUUGCCACGAAGCACAGAGGUUGACACACAGGGACUUUCCAAUUAUCCAGCAGUGGUACUGUUCCUUUACCCUUGUGGGUAAUAAUAUGGUAGCUAGACCUUCAAAAUUU
This 1450-nucleotide long non-coding RNA is filed under the name Malus domestica (apple). RNAcentral's name for it is "long non-coding RNA (MDOM_LNC006968)". The record is from RNAcentral. Lineage: Eukaryota; Viridiplantae; Streptophyta; Magnoliopsida; Rosales; Rosaceae.